GACGAACGCUGGCGGCGUGCUUAACACAUGCAAGUCGAACGGUGAUGCUCCAGCUUGCUGGCGUGGAUCAGUGGCGAACGGGUGAGUAACACGUGAGCAACCUGCCCCAGACUCUGGAAUAAGCGCUGGAAACGGCGUCUAAUACUGGAUACGAAACUGGCCCGCAUGGGCAUGGUUUGGAAAGUUUUUCGGUUUGGGAUGGGCUCGCGGCCUAUCAGCUUGUUGGUGAGGUAAUGGCUCACCAAGGCGACGACGGGUAGCCGGCCUGAGAGGGCGACCGGCCACACUGGGACUGAGACACGGCCCAGACGCCUACGGGAGGCAGCAGUGGGGAAUAUUGCACAAUGGGCGAAAGCCUGAUGCAGCGACGCCGCGUGAGGGAUGACGGCCUUCGGGUUGUAAACCUCUUUCAGCAGGGAAGAAGCGAAAGUGACGGUACCUGCAGAAGAAGCACCGGCUAACUACGUG
This 468-nucleotide ribosomal RNA is filed under the name uncultured bacterium. RNAcentral describes it as "partial 16S ribosomal RNA". It matches the Rfam family "Bacterial small subunit ribosomal RNA", at positions 28 to 507 of the family's 1533-position model. The record is from RNAcentral.